This 206-nucleotide ribosomal RNA is filed under the name uncultured bacterium. RNAcentral's name for it is "partial 16S ribosomal RNA". It matches the Rfam family "Bacterial small subunit ribosomal RNA", at positions 568 to 774 of the family's 1533-position model. The record is from RNAcentral.
UGCGUAGGUGGUUUCUUAAGUCAGGAGUGAAAGGCUACGGCUCAACCGUAGUAAGCUCUUGAAACUGGGAAACUUGAGUGCAGGAGAGGAAAGUGGAAUUCCUAGUGUAGCGGUGAAAUGCGUAGAGAUCUGGAGGAAUACCGGUGGCGAAGGCGGCCCCCUGGACGAAGACUGACGCUCAGGUGCGAAAGCGUGGGGAACAAACA